Non-coding RNA from Acanthosepion pharaonis, 110 nucleotides. The record is from the annotation of a GenBank genome assembly. Lineage: Eukaryota; Metazoa; Mollusca; Cephalopoda; Sepiida; Sepiidae.
CAACUAUAUCAUGUUGAAACACCAGUUCUUGUCUGAUCACCAAAGUUAAGAAAUGUUGAGUCUGGUUCGUACCUAAAUGGGUGACUUCUUGUGAAUACCAGGUGCUGUAA